Molecule: ribosomal RNA, 405 nt
Filed under: uncultured bacterium
Lineage: Bacteria
Description: bacterial SSU rRNA
Rfam family: Bacterial small subunit ribosomal RNA
Source: RNAcentral
AACGAACGCUGGCGGCAGGCCUAACACAUGCAAGUCGAACGCUCGUAGCAAUACGGGAGUGGCAGACGGGUGAGUAACACGUGGGAACCUACCCUUUGGUUCGGAAUAGCCCAGGGAAACUUGGGGUAAUACCGGAUAAGCCCUUCGGGGAAGGAUUUAUCGCCGAAGGAUGGGCCCGCGUCGGAUUAGCUAGUUGGUGGGGUAACGGCCUACCAAGGCGACGAUCCGUAGCUGGUCUGAGAGGAUGAUCAGCCACACUGGGACUGAGACACGGCCCAGACUCCUACGGGAGGCAGCAGUGGGGAAUAUUGGACAAUGGGCGCAAGCCUGAUCCAGCCAUGCCGCGUGAGUGACGAAGGUCUUCGGAUUGUAAAGCUCUUUUGGUCGGGGACGAUAAUGACGGUA